GAUAACUGGCUUGUGGAGGCCAAGUGUUCAUAGUGAUGUCUCUUUUUGAUCCUUUCGAUCNUCUUCCUAUCAUUGUGAAGCAGAAUUCAGCAAGUAUUGGAUUGUUCACCAACUAAUAGGAAACGUGAGCUGGGUAUAGACCGUCUUGAGACAGGUU
This 157-nucleotide non-coding RNA is filed under the name Amazona aestiva (blue-fronted amazon). Its description in RNAcentral is "Eukaryotic large subunit ribosomal RNA". It matches the Rfam family "Eukaryotic large subunit ribosomal RNA", at positions 2825 to 2984 of the family's 3401-position model. The record is from Rfam by way of RNAcentral. Lineage: Eukaryota; Metazoa; Chordata; Aves; Psittaciformes; Psittacidae.